Molecule: long non-coding RNA, 627 nt
Filed under: Drosophila guanche
Lineage: Eukaryota; Metazoa; Arthropoda; Insecta; Diptera; Drosophilidae
Source: RNAcentral
CUGCUGAUUGAUUUCGUUCUGCUGUGAAUGAGUGAGCGAGCAGAGUGGUGUGGGUGGUUUGUUUGCUCAAGAGGCGGGUGGAGAGGCUGUAGAGAGAGUUCCCCACAUGCAAACUAGGAAGAACGGACGCCACGUGUGAGUGCGAGGCCUGUGCCCGAGAGGGGUGAGAGAAUGGAAUGGAAUGAAUGGCAAAGUACACGACCCGUUACGCACGCACACACACACACACACGCUUGACAUUUCUCUCCAUCUGCACUGUAAAGUAUGUUCAUACAUACAUAAAAGUUCUCUUUACUUUACAUAAUUUGCUUAAGUUAACUUUUUUUUGUGUUUUCUUUGUGUUUUCUGCAUGUUUUCUUCUUAUUUUGUAAGUAAAAUAGUUGAAAAUCAAUUUGACGUGUGCUGAAUUCUGUUUUCGAUUUAAAAACUCGUUUCACAAACGAAAGUAGAGCCAAGGAAGAGGUAGCGGAACGAGAUGACACAAACAAGGGUGGGCCAUUGUUGCCGCAGGAGCGAAGACGUGGCGCGGGGGCAUACAAAAUGGAAAUCAACUCGAAUUGUGUGUGCCCCGCCAUGGGUUGGGGAGGGUAUGGGUUGCCUGGACUCUCGACCAUGUCAAAGGUAAAG